Long non-coding RNA from Cyprinus carpio carpio, 1380 nucleotides. The record is from Ensembl. Lineage: Eukaryota; Metazoa; Chordata; Actinopteri; Cypriniformes; Cyprinidae.
AUGAAAAAAAUAAGAAUAAUACUUAGGAAAACAAGAGGGCUCUUCGCCCCUUCGGGCUUGAGCCCUAAAUAUAGCUGCAAGCAGCGAUGGCGGGCCCGAGCCGUCAGCGCAAACGCCACCCCGGUGGCAUCAGGUCCUGCAAAGUUCAGCUCCAACUCUAACCAGUCAAACCUACCUUUAAUUUUCAAGCGAACCCGAAGGCCUUAAUUAGUUGCUUCAGGUGUGUUUGAUAAGGGUUGGAGCUAAACUUUGCAGGACAGUCAAUCCCCAUUAACAGGGUUGGACAUCCCUGUGCUAGAGGGUUACUGUGUAUGUGCCCGCUGGGCACAGUUUUACUGUUGCCACCGGGGUGGCGUUUCUGCUGACAGCUUGGGCCCACCAUCGCUGCUUGCAGCUAUAUAUUUUUUUUCUUUUUCUUUAGACUAAACUGGCUUUUGGGGGGCCUUAACAUGCUCAAAAACUCUUGAAAAUUGGUACACACGUUGGAAUCUGCGGUCAUUAGGACUCCACAGAGACUGGGACCCGGGCGUGGCACAGGGGCUCUACGGCGCCCACUGGAACACAGUGAGAAAUCUUGAUGUAUAGCUCACACAUACUUACACAUAUAGAUCUCAUUGAGCCGAACAACUUUCGUGCUUCAUGUCAUAGGCUCCACCCAACAGGAAGUCGGCUAUUCAGGGCUGUUUAAAAAGCACAUGCUCUGGAAUUUGAUAUACUCCUCUGAGGACUUCCAACCGCUUGCCUCGAAACUUGGUGAACAUGAUCUCAAGACAUUGGGCAUGCAAAAUUGCCAAGGGAUUUUUGAUAUCUCGAACAGUUUGCCCAUGGUGAGACGAUGAAUUUAUGGCGAUAAAUGAGAAACAGUAAGUGUCUAAUAACAUCCACAUACAUUUUCUGAAUUUGAUCAAGUUUCAAGGGUUUGUUCAUUGUAUGAUGCCGAUCGCAUAGAUGUGACUAUUAUUACUGAAACUGAUAGCACCUGGUAUCAGGAAGGGAAUCAUUUUUAAAAUGCUUUGAAUUCAGCAUGUUAUUUUUACUCAAUUUGAUCCAAACUUCAUCAGAAUAAUGUCAAAACACGGCCGAUGUAAAACUGUGGAGGGGAUAUUGAUAUCUAAAAUAUCAUUGCCAUGGCAAUGUGUCAAACUUGAAUAUUCUUUUCCGGUGAUUUUAAGGCAGAUAACAUGCUUAGAAUUUAUUGAAACUAAACACGCAUAUCAGUAUUAAUGAUAAAUAGACACUGGCAAAAGCUCAUAAAGGGCGUAGAAGAGGCACUCCAUAGUGCCACCUUUUGACAAAACUUGGGGGUUUCAUUUUAGCUAUAAUCACCAAACUUGGUACAUACCGUAUAUUGUUCUCAUCAAUUUGGACAACUUUCUAAUU